RNAcentral lists this ribosomal RNA (1535 nucleotides) under Salmonella enterica subsp. enterica serovar Typhi. Its description in RNAcentral is "partial 23S ribosomal RNA". It matches the Rfam family "Bacterial large subunit ribosomal RNA", at positions 1412 to 2925 of the family's 2925-position model. The record is from RNAcentral. Lineage: Bacteria; Pseudomonadati; Pseudomonadota; Gammaproteobacteria; Enterobacterales; Enterobacteriaceae.
UAGUCGAUGGGAAACGGGUUAAUAUUCCCGUACUUGGUGUUACUGCGAAGGGGGGACGGAGAAGGCUAUGUUGGCCGGGCGACGGUUGUCCCGGUUUAAGCGUGUAGGUAUGUGUUCCAGGUAAAUCCGGUUCACUUUAACACUGAGGCGUGACGACGAGGCACUACGGUGCUGAAGCAACAAAUGCCCUGCUUCCAGGAAAAGCCUCUAAGCAUCAGGUAACAUCAAAUCGUACCCCAAACCGACACAGGUGGUCAGGUAGAGAAUACCAAGGCGCUUGAGAGAACUCGGGUGAAGGAACUAGGCAAAAUGGUGCCGUAACUUCGGGAGAAGGCACGCUGACACGUAGGUGAAGUGAUUUACUCACGGAGCUGAAGUCAGCCGAAGAUACCAGCUGGCUGCAACUGUUUAUUAAAAACACAGCACUGUGCAAACACGAAAGUGGACGUAUACGGUGUGACGCCUGCCCGGUGCCGGAAGGUUAAUUGAUGGGGUCAGCGCAAGCGAAGCUCCUGAUCGAAGCCCCGGUAAACGGCGGCCGUAACUAUAACGGUCCUAAGGUAGCGAAAUUCCUUGUCGGGUAAGUUCCGACCUGCACGAAUGGCGUAAUGAUGGCCAGGCUGUCUCCACCCGAGACUCAGUGAAAUUGAACUCGCUGUGAAGAUGCAGUGUACCCGCGGCAAGACGGAAAGACCCCGUGAACCUUUACUAUAGCUUGACACUGAACAUUGAGCCUUGAUGUGUAGGAUAGGUGGGAGGCUUUGAAGUGUGGACGCCAGUCUGCAUGGAGCCGACCUUGAAAUACCACCCUUUAAUGUUUGAUGUUCUAACGUGGACCCGUGAUCCGGGUUGCGGACAGUGUCUGGUGGGUAGUUUGACUGGGGCGGUCUCCUCCUAAAGAGUAACGGAGGAGCACGAAGGUUGGCUAAUCCUGGUCGGACAUCAGGAGGUUAGUGCAAUGGCAUAAGCCAGCUUGACUGCGAGCGUGACGGCGCGAGCAGGUGCGAAAGCAGGUCAUAGUGAUCCGGUGGUUCUGAAUGGAAGGGCCAUCGCUCAACGGAUAAAAGGUACUCCGGGGAUAACAGGCUGAUACCGCCCAAGAGUUCAUAUCGACGGCGGUGUUUGGCACCUCGAUGUCGGCUCAUCACAUCCUGGGGCUGAAGUAGGUCCCAAGGGUAUGGCUGUUCGCCAUUUAAAGUGGUACGCGAGCUGGGUUUAGAACGUCGUGAGACAGUUCGGUCCCUAUCUGCCGUGGGCGCUGGAGAACUGAGGGGGGCUGCUCCUAGUACGAGAGGACCGGAGUGGACGCAUCACUGGUGUUCGGGUUGUCAUGCCAAUGGCACUGCCCGGUAGCUAAAUGCGGAAGAGAUAAGUGCUGAAAGCAUCUAAGCACGAAACUUGCCCCGAGAUGAGUUCUCCCUGAGACUUUAGGUCUCCUGAAGGAACGUUGAAGACGACGACGUUGAUAGGCCGGGUGUGUAAGCGCAGCGAUGCGUUGAGCUAACCGGUACUAAUGAACCGUGAGGCUUAACCUU